Molecule: non-coding RNA, 410 nt
Organism: Pelobates cultripes (western spadefoot toad)
Lineage: Eukaryota; Metazoa; Chordata; Amphibia; Anura; Pelobatidae
Source: the annotation of a GenBank genome assembly
GUCCUGAUAGAAAGCUUGAGCGCUGCCAUUUAGCGGACGUAUAGAUUGUGGUGUAUAGUGUAAAAUAGUGCACGGUACCAUAACCACUGACAGGUACCAUAACUACUGAUAGUGUGAAAAAUACGGUUUAACGUUGUAUGUGUAACACUUUAACUACUACUAACUGACCUUGUAACUUUAAAACCAUGAUUGUUUAAACUGUGUAAUAUUUGCUAACCGUACCAUAACCACUCAAAGACGAAACUGUUGAAAUGUUAUGUGAUCGGUUAGUAUAUGUGGAUUAAUAGUGUGGAUAAUUGUAUGGUUUAAAUAAUAGUUACAUUGAUGAGUAUAUAGUGUUUGGUGAGACUUUUUGAUUUUACUUAUGUGUGCGACAUCAUGAUAUUGUUGAGUGUGUGAGGAUCCUGUGC